UGAAACCUCCCAAAUAUAAAGAUUUGCUAUGAUACAAUGUUUACCGAGUUUAUUACUGAAUUGUUAAAUUGAUUUUGUUACAAGAAACACAUGAUGAGACUUAUUAUUAUUACCGUUUUAAAAAAGGGCAUUUUAUUUUGUGAUUAUUAUGCAAGCAUAUUUUCUGACUUGUCCCCAAUUAAAAACGGUUGUGGUUAAGUGUUAUUACUCACUGAGCUAGCGACUCAUUCCCCACUAUUUUGGAAGGGUGAGGAAGGUUGAGAAAGAGGUUUGGAAAAUGUUUUCUCUUCUCUUGAUAAUGAAAAUAUUUUUCUCCAAUUAGAGGAAAAUGAAUUUACAAAGAAAAUAUUUUUCAAAAUAUUUAAGCCAAUUAAACAUAAAAAAAUUAAAAAAUAUUUUCCGAAAAAUAUUUCCUUUCAUACCAAACACACCCAAAAUUGAAUUUCCUUUUCAAAAUAAUAGAGAGCUUAGUCCGUCGUGGGUCUCAUUAAUAGAAGCCGAGCUAAAUUAGACCUUCUCUUCGAAUUCAUUGAAAGAAGGCAUGAAUUGGGUGUUUUAUGUGUGUUGAUGAUUGGAUAAAUUAUUGUAACUUUAUAGAUUUACAGUAUAGUACUUUGUGUGUGCGGGUGUGAGUUUGGAAUGUGCUAAGUCAAGAACUUCUCUUACGUAUUUAUAUAUUCAAUAUUGGAAGUGAUUAAGUUCAAAGUGCCUUCAUUUUAGGGCUGGGCAUAAUUUAGUAAAUAUCAAAUUAUCGUAUCG
This 759-nucleotide long non-coding RNA is filed under the name Nicotiana benthamiana. RNAcentral describes it as "long non-coding RNA (NBEN_LNC024500)". The record is from RNAcentral. Lineage: Eukaryota; Viridiplantae; Streptophyta; Magnoliopsida; Solanales; Solanaceae.